CUGGGUUCUUGAGUUUGUAUGAACUACGUCCACCCACCCUUUGUCAUUUGCAAAUGAUCUCUUCGGUCGUUUGUUCACUCAAACGACCGGCAUUGCAAAACUCUUUGUUGUAAAAAUGAAGUCUAGUCUUUUUUUAUUGAAUUAAAA
Molecule: unclassified non-coding RNA, 147 nt
Filed under: soil metagenome
Description: partial internal transcribed spacer 1
Source: RNAcentral